Molecule: ribosomal RNA, 391 nt
Filed under: uncultured bacterium
Lineage: Bacteria
Description: bacterial SSU rRNA
Rfam family: Bacterial small subunit ribosomal RNA
Source: RNAcentral
UAUUUCACAAUGGGGGAAACCCUGAUGCAGCGACGCCGCGUGAGUGAAGAAGUAUUUCGGGAUGUAAAGCUCCAGCAGCAGGGAAGAUAAUGACGGUACCUGACUAAGAAGCCCCGGCUAACUACGUGCCAGCAGCCGCGGUAAUACGUAGGGGGCAAGCGUUAUCCUGAUUUACUGGGUGUAAAGGGUGCGUAGGUGGCAGGGCAAGUCAGAUGUAAGAGCCCGGGGCUCAACCCCGGUACUGCAUUUGAAGCUGUCCAGCUGGAGUGCAGGAGAGGUAAGCGGAAUUCCUAGUGUAGCGGUGAAAUGCGUAGAUAUUAGGAGGAACACCAGUGGCGAAGGCGGCUUACUGGACUGUAACUGACACUGAGGCACGAAAGCGUGGGGAGCA